CCUUUGACGUUAGCGGCGGACGGGUGAGUAACACGUGGGUAACCUACCUAUAAGACUGGGAUAACUUCGGGAAACCGGAGCUAAUACCGGAUAAUAUUUCGAACCGCAUGGUUCUAUAGUGAAAGGUGGUUUUGCUAUCACUUAUAGAUGGACCCGCGCCGUAUUAGCUAGUUGGUAAGGUAACGGCUUACCAAGGCGACGAUACGUAGCCGACCUGAGAGGGUGAUCGGCCACACUGGAACUGAGACACGGUCCAGACUCCUACGGGAGGCAGCAGCC
This 279-nucleotide ribosomal RNA is filed under the name uncultured Staphylococcus sp. Its description in RNAcentral is "partial 16S ribosomal RNA". It matches the Rfam family "Bacterial small subunit ribosomal RNA", at positions 83 to 355 of the family's 1533-position model. Lineage: Bacteria; Bacillati; Bacillota; Bacilli; Caryophanales; Staphylococcaceae. The record is from RNAcentral.